This 382-nucleotide unclassified non-coding RNA is filed under the name soil metagenome. RNAcentral describes it as "partial contains 5.8S ribosomal RNA, internal transcribed spacer 2, and large subunit ribosomal RNA". The stretch from base 1 to 120 matches the Rfam family "5.8S ribosomal RNA", at positions 35 to 154 of the family's 154-position model. The record is from RNAcentral.
GAUGAAGAACGUGGCGAAAUGCGAUAAGUAAUGUGAAUUGCAGAAUUCAGUGAAUCAUCGAAUCUUUGAACGCACCUUGCACCCUUUGGCAUUCCGAAGGGUAUGCUCGUUUGAGUGUCAUUGUACUCUCACACUUCUGAUCCUUUGGAUUGGGAGCGGUGGACUUGGGUGUUGCUGCUUUACUGUGGCUCACCUCAAAUGCAUUCGUGCAACUCUUGGUUGGACAUAGUACGGCGUGAUAAGUAUCUUCGCCGGCACCUCGCAAGAGGGUGGCUGAUCAGGAGCUCUGUGCUUUCCAACUGUCUUCAGACAACAACUGACAACUUGACCUCAAAUCGAGUAGGACCACCCGCUGAACUUAAGCAUAUCAAUAAGCGGAGGA